GAAGGUGGCCUGUGAGGGUUGCUGGAGGUAUCAGAAGUGCGAAUGCUGACAUAAGUAACGAUAAAGCGGGUGAAAAGCCCGCUCGCCGGAAGACCAAGGGUUCCUGUCCAACGUUAAUCGGGGCAGGGUGAGUCGACCCCUAAGGCGAGGCCGAAAGGCGUAGUCGAUGGGAAACGGGUUAAUAUUCCCGUACUUGGUGUUACUGCGAAGGGGGGACGGAGAAGGCUAUGUUGGCCGGGCGACGGUUGUCCCGGUUUAAGCGUGUAGGUGUGUGUUCCAGGUAAAUCCGGUUCACUUUAACACUGAGGCGUGAUGACGAGGCACUACGGUGCUGAAGCAACAAAUGCCCUGCUUCCAGGAAAAGCCUCUAAGCAUCAGGUAACAUCAAAUCGUACCCCAAACCGACACAGGUGGUCAGGUAGAGAAUACCAAGGCGCUUGAGAGAACUCGGGUGAAGGAACUAGGCAAAAUGGUGCCGUAACUUCGGGAGAAGGCACGCUGACAUGUAGGUGAAGUGAUUUACUCAUGGAGCUGAAGUCAGUCGAAGAUACCAGCUGGCUGCAACUGUUUAUUAAAAACACAGCACUGUGCAAACACGAAAGUGGACGUAUACGGUGUGACGCCUGCCCGGUGCCGGAAGGUUAAUUGAUGGGGUCAGCGCAAGCGAAGCUCCUGAUCGAAGCCCCGGUAAACGGCGGCCGUAACUAUAACGGUCCUAAGGUAGCGAAAUUCCUUGUCGGGUAAGUUCCGACCUGCACGAAUGGCGUAAUGAUGGCCAGGCUGUCUCCACCCGAGACUCAGUGAAAUUGAACUCGCUGUGAAGAUGCAGUGUACCCGCGGCAAGACGGAAAGACCCCGUGAACCUUUACUAUAGCUUGACACUGAACAUUGAGCCUUGAUGUGUAGGAUAGGUGGGAGGCUUUGAAGCGUGGACGCCAGUCUGCAUGGAGCCGACCUUGAAAUACCACCCUUUAAUGUUUGAUGUUCUAACGUGGACCCGUGAUCCGGGUUGCGGACAGUGUCUGGUGGGUAGUUUGACUGGGGCGGUCUCCUCCUAAAGAGUAACGGAGGAGCACGAAGGUUGGCUAAUCCUGGUCGGACAUCAGGAGGUUAGUGCAAUGGCAUAAGCCAGCUUGACUGCGAGCGUGACGGCGCGAGCAGGUGCGAAAGCAGGUCAUAGUGAUCCGGUGGUUCUGAAUGGAAGGGCCAUCGCUCAACGGAUAAAAGGUACUCCGGGGAUAACAGGCUGAUACCGCCCAAGAGUUCAUAUCGACGGCGGUGUUUGGCACCUCGAUGUCGGCUCAUCACAUCCUGGGGCUGAAGUAGGUCCCAAGGGUAUGGCUGUUCGCCAUUUAAAGUGGUACGCGAGCUGGGUUUAGAACGUCGUGAGACAGUUCGGUCCCUAUCUGCCGUGGGCGCUGGAGAACUGAGGGGGGCUGCUCCUAGUACGAGAGGACCGGAGUGGACGCAUCACUGGUGUUCGGGUUGUCAUGCCAAUGGCACUGCCCGGUAGCUAAAUGCGGAAGAGAUAAGUGCUGAAAGCAUCUAAGCACGAAACUUGCCCCGAGAUGAGUUCUCCCUGAGACUUAAAGUCUCCUGAAGGAACGUUGAAGACGACGACGUUGAUAGGCCGGGUGUGUAAGCGCAGCGAUGCGUUGAGCUAACCGGUACUAAUGAACCGUGAGGCUUAACCUUACAACGCCGAAG
RNAcentral lists this ribosomal RNA (1707 nucleotides) under Salmonella enterica subsp. enterica serovar Holcomb. RNAcentral describes it as "bacterial LSU rRNA". It matches the Rfam family "Bacterial large subunit ribosomal RNA", at positions 1252 to 2925 of the family's 2925-position model. The record is from RNAcentral. Lineage: Bacteria; Pseudomonadati; Pseudomonadota; Gammaproteobacteria; Enterobacterales; Enterobacteriaceae.